Molecule: long non-coding RNA, 1008 nt
Organism: Orbicella faveolata
Lineage: Eukaryota; Metazoa; Cnidaria; Anthozoa; Scleractinia; Merulinidae
Source: RefSeq, a predicted model, not a curated record
UUCACACCUCGCCUUUCAUGGAAAUAAAUUGUUCGUUAUUAAUAAGAGCUGCAGUGGCUUUAAGGAAUAAUGUUUCAUGAAAAGCAAGCUAGGGUCCUCAUGUUUUGUUCUUCCACUAAAUAUUUUAGUUUCGCAGUACCCCUUCCCCUCUUAAGAACCCUUAGAGGUAUGUAAGGAUGACCGAGCAUUAUUCAACAAUUUGGCAAAACGUUGAAGAGGGGUACCCUAAGAUGGACAACGUCCACCUAUAACGUUUUGAAGCCACCAUACUUAAUCGUUUUGCUCCGCCCAUGAGAAAUAGGCCUACUGUGCGCUUUCAAUGUCUGUGAUAUUUAGCUACCACAUUGCUCACUUUCCAAAGGGAAUUUCCAAGAUGCACUCGAGGAUCUAUACCACUUAAAGGAAAUAACAGAUAAAAAUCCCAGAGUUUUACAAAAACGUGGUCUUGACCAUGACAUGUUAAGAGCAAGAGCACAACUCCUCAAAGGAGAAGCCGAGCACGGUAAAAAUGACUUUAGGAAAGCGUUAAGUUGCUACACUGAAGGGAUUGAAUUAAAGUGCAAAGAUGACACACUGAACGCCAAGCUUUACUACAAAAGGGCGCAGUUGCAUCAUUAUCAUCUGGGUUAGUUUACAUGAUUGUUUGAUUUCUGUUCUAUUUUACUGAGUUCAAAUAUGUAAGUUCAAAAUGUAAAAAAUAUCCGUAUAUCGUCCAUUUUAAUUGCUAUACAUUUCUUCAAUUUCUAUUGCUGUUAAUUUGCUAAUACAUCAUUUAAUAAUUUCGUUGUUCCCAUCACCUGCCUCCUUGAAUAUAUAUAAAUACUGUAAUAAGAAAUUAGAUUUUCAUCACACCUUUCGACUGAAGAGGCGAUAGUAAAAUAUUUCACACCUCGCCUUUCAUGGAAAUAAAUUGUUCGUUAUUAAUAAGAGCUGCAGUGGCUUUAAGAGCAGCUUCGCCUAAAUAUCAACUAGACAUGGAAAUAGCGAAAAAAUCGAAUUUCUUCAAAC